GUUCGGGUCCCGCGCGACGAUCCCCCUCGAAACGUGUCAGGUCCGGAAGGAAGCAGCACUAAGAGGAACGGAUCGAGCGCCGCGGAUCACCCGGACUCA
RNAcentral lists this signal recognition particle RNA (99 nucleotides) under Holophagales bacterium. RNAcentral describes it as "signal recognition particle sRNA small type". It matches the Rfam family "Bacterial small signal recognition particle RNA". Rfam says of the family: The signal recognition particle (SRP) is a universally conserved ribonucleoprotein involved in the co-translational targeting of proteins to membranes. Archaeal SRP consists of a 7S RNA and homologues of the eukaryotic SRP19 and SRP54 proteins. In most bacteria, the SRP consists of a 4.5S RNA and the Ffh protein (a homologue of the eukaryotic SRP54 protein). The record is from RNAcentral. Lineage: Bacteria; Pseudomonadati; Acidobacteriota; Holophagae; Holophagales.